GAUGAACGCUGGCGGCGUGCCUAAUACAUGCAAGUCGAGCGAACAGACGAGGAGCUUGCUCCUCUGACGUUAGCGGCGGACGGGUGAGUAACACGUGGAUAACCGACCUAGAAGACUGGGAUAACUUCGGGAAACCGGAGCUAAUACCGGAUAAUAUAUUGAACCGCAUGGUUCAAUAGUGAAAGACGGUUUUGCUGUCACUUAUAGAUGGAUCCGCGCCGCAUUAGCUAGUUGGGAAGGUAACGGCUUACCAAGGCAACGAUGCGUAGCCGACCUGAGAGGGUGAUCGGCCACACUGGAACUGAGACACGGUCCAGACUCCUACGGGAGGCAGCAGUAGGGACUCUUCCGGAAUGGGCGAAAGCCUGACGGAGCAACGCCGCGUGAGUGAUGAAGGUCUUCGGAUCGUAAAACUAUGUUAUUAGGGAAGAACAAAUGUGUAAGUAACUAUGCACGUCUUGACGGUACCUAAUCAGAAAGCCACGGCUAACUACGUG
This 497-nucleotide ribosomal RNA is filed under the name uncultured bacterium. Its description in RNAcentral is "partial 16S ribosomal RNA". It matches the Rfam family "Bacterial small subunit ribosomal RNA", at positions 28 to 507 of the family's 1533-position model. The record is from RNAcentral.